RNAcentral lists this transfer RNA (72 nucleotides) under Camelus bactrianus (Bactrian camel). It matches the Rfam family "tRNA". From Rfam's summary of the family: Transfer RNA (tRNA) molecules are approximately 80 nucleotides in length. Their secondary structure includes four short double-helical elements and three loops (D, anti-codon, and T loops). RNAcentral also lists the same sequence under 2 other names. Lineage: Eukaryota; Metazoa; Chordata; Mammalia; Artiodactyla; Camelidae. The record is from Rfam by way of RNAcentral.
GAGGGCGUAGCUCAGUGGUAAAGCGCAUGCCUCGCAUGCAGGAGGUCCUGGGUUCAGUCCCCAGUGUCUCUG